GAGUUUGAUCCUGGCUCAGGAUGAACGCUGGCGGCGUGCCUAACACAUGCAAGUCGAACGAAGCACCUUACCUGAUUCUUCGGAUGAAGGCCUGGUGACUGAGUGGCGGACGGGUGAGUAACGCGUGGGUAACCUGCCCUGUACAGGGGGAUAACAGUUGGAAACGGCUGCUAAUACCGCAUAAGCGCACGAGAGGACAUCCUCUUGUGUGAAAAACUCCGGUGGUACAGGAUGGGCCCGCGUCUGAUUAGGUAGUUGGUGGGGUAACGGCCCACCAAAGCGACGAUCAGUAGCCGGCCUGAGAGGGUGAACGGCCACAUUGGGACUGAGACACGGCCCAAACUCCUACGGGAGGCAGCAGUGGGGAAUAUUGCACAAUGGGGGAAACCCUGAUGCAGCGACGCCGCGUGAGUGAAGAAGUAUUUCGGUAUGUAAAGCUCUAUCAGCAGGGAAGAAAAUGACGGUACCUGACUAAGAAGCCCCGGCUAACCACGUGCCAGCCGCCGCGGUAAUUC
RNAcentral lists this ribosomal RNA (515 nucleotides) under uncultured bacterium. Its description in RNAcentral is "bacterial SSU rRNA". It matches the Rfam family "Bacterial small subunit ribosomal RNA", at positions 9 to 526 of the family's 1533-position model. The record is from RNAcentral.